GGAUCCUAGAGAGCGGCUUUGAAGAAAGGGUGAAAGAGAGAGGGCUUCUCAUAAAAGGAUGGGCACCUCAAGUGCUUAUCCUUUCACAUUCUUCUGUUGGGGGAUUCUUGACACAUUGUGGAUGGAACUCAACUCUUGAGGGGAUAACCUCUGGUCUCCCACUCCUCACAUGGCCUCUAUUUGCAGACCAAUUCUGCAAUGAGAAACUAGUUGUGCAGGUACUAAAGGCCGGUGUGAAAGCCGGGGUUGAGCAGCCUAUGAAAUGGGGAGAGGAAGAGAAGAUAGGAGUGUUGGUGGAUAAAGAAGGUGUUAAGAAGGCAGUUGAAGAGUUAAUGGGUGAGAGUGAUGAUGCAAAGGAGAGAAGAAGAAGAGCCAAAGAGCUUGGAGAGUUAGCUCACAAGGCUGUGGAAGAAGGAGGCUCUUCUCAUUCUAAUAUCACUUCCCUCUUAGAAGACAUAAUGCAACUAGCACAAUCCAAUAAUUGAUUAUGUCAUUGUUAAAAGAAAUACAAAUAUUUAUACAUUCUUUAUUUGGAGGAUAGGAGACUUAGUCCAACACGUCCAUAAAGUUAGGUUAAACUUCUUUUAAACAUAUCUAAAAACUUUAAUGAACAACUAGAAUUUUUGGUGGAUUCUCAACCAAGUAAAUCAAAUAUAAAUCUGUCAUAUAAGUUUGAUAUCGUCAGCUUCCUUUGGUUUUUGUUCACUCAUUUUCUAUAUUGCUCCUUUUUGCAUUCACCUUUCUAAUCUUUGUUUGAUCUAAUUCUUAAAAGUCUUAUCAUCUCAUUAUCUAUAGAAUCUUUUUCCAUUACCGAACUCAGGAAAGAAACAUUCACACGAAAGUGUUGUAGGCUCUGGACCUAUGUUCUUUUUUUUUAUUGAUUGUGAUUUUUGAGGCUUCUUGAUACAUAUAGCUGUCUUGAAAAGAGUCCAAAGUUGGAUUUAUCUUCUCGUACUGUUUAUAUUGGAUUGGAGUUUAAUCGAUCUUUAAAGUUUCAAACACUUCUCCUUGGGGUUAAAUUAUUAAUUUAGGUGCCUUUAUUGUAACAAUUUAAGGAUUUACAGAACAUGUAGCUAUCAACAGGCCUCCAAGUUGUUGUUUUUGUGUCUGAAUUAUCUUCUUUGUGUAAGGGAAAGUCAUUACAGGAUGCAAGAUAGGGUCGCAAAGGGACAAACUAUGGAUACACAAUCUGUGGACUGUAUUGGAUGUGUUUGUCAAGUAAAAUCUAUUUUACGUCAUGUAUUACGUCUUCUGUUCAGUUUUUUUUUUGCUCUCCACGCAUCUUUGUUCUAUAUAAGCUCUCUCGCUCUCACAAAUAUAAUCCAGAACCAAGACAAAACUUGAGAGUUUAUCAUCAGCAUGGGUUCUGAAACAGCUAAAAAAUCUUAUCCUCUUCACUUUGUUCUCUUCCCUUUCAUGGCUCAAGGCCACAUGAUUCCCAUGGUGGAUAUCGCAAGGCUCUUGGCUCAGCGAGGUGUGACCAUAACCAUUGUCACAACGCCUUACAAUGCAGGGAGGUUCAAGAAUGUUCUAAGCCGUGCCAUUGAGUCAGCUGGCUUGCCCAUCAAGGUAGUGCAUGUGAAGUUUCCAUCUCAAGAAGCUGGUAUGCCAGAGGGAAAAGAAAAUAUAGAUUUGCUCGACUCCAUAGAGAUGAUGAUACCUUUCUUUAAAGCAGUUAACAUGCUCGAAGAACCGGUUCAGAAGCUCAUGGAAGAGAUGAGCCCUCCACCAAGCUGCUUAAUCUCUGACAUGUGUUUGUUUUAUACAAGCAAACUCGCCAAGACGUUCAAUAUACCAAAGAUCCUCUUCCAUGGCAUGUGUUGCUUUGGUCUUCUGUGUAUGCAUAUUUUACGCGAAAAUCUUGAGAUCUUGGAGAGUUUGGAGUCAGACAAAGAGUACUUCACCGUUCCUUAUUUUCCUGACAAAGUUGAAUUCACAAGACCUCAAGUUCCUGUUGAAACAUAUGUUCCUGGAGAGUGGAAGGAGUUCUUGGAUGGAAUUAAAGAAGCUGAUAAGACAUCCUAUGGAGUGGUGGUCAACACAUUUCAAGAACUGGAGCCUGCUUAUGUCAAAGACUACAAGGAAGCAAGGUCAGGUAAAGCAUGGUCCAUUGGACCUGUUUCCUUGUGCAACAAGGUGGGAGAAGAUAAAGCUGAGAGAGGAAAUAAAUCAGAUAUUGAUAAAGAUGAAUGCCUUAAAUGGCUUGAUUCUAAGGAAGGUGGUUCUGUGCUCUACGUUUGUCUAGGAAGUGUCUGCAAUCUUCCUCUGUCUCAGCUCAAGGAGCUUGGCCUAGGCCUAGAAGAAUCUCAAAGACCUUUCAUUUGGGUCAUAAGAGGUUGGGAAAAAUAUAAAGAGCUUGCUGUGUGGAUCUUGGAGAGCGGCUUUGAAGAAAGGGUGAAAGAGAGAGGGCUUCUCAUUAAAGGAUGGGCACCUCAAGUGCUUAUCCUUUCACACCCUUCUGUUGGAGGAUUCUUGACACACUGCGGAUGGAACUCAACUCUUGAGGGGAUAACCUUUGGUCUCCCACUGCUUACAUGGCCGCUAUUUGCUGACCAAUUCUGUAAUGAGAAAUUAGUGGUGGAGGUGCUAAAAGCUGGUGUGAAAGUAGGGGUUGAGGAGCCUAUGAAAUGGGGAGAAGAGGAGAAGAUAGGUGUGUUGGUGG
This 2662-nucleotide long non-coding RNA is filed under the name Brassica rapa (field mustard). Its description in RNAcentral is "long non-coding RNA (BRAP_LNC003287)". The record is from RNAcentral. Lineage: Eukaryota; Viridiplantae; Streptophyta; Magnoliopsida; Brassicales; Brassicaceae.